Molecule: long non-coding RNA, 637 nt
Organism: Mus musculus (house mouse)
Lineage: Eukaryota; Metazoa; Chordata; Mammalia; Rodentia; Muridae
Product: predicted gene, 33509
Exons: 2
Source: RefSeq, a predicted model, not a curated record
AAUUCCCAGCUGCUUUGCGACCCCUGACUCCCGUAUAGGCUCGCUAGAGAAAGGAGGAGAGUGUCUCUGGGACAGGACUUAGACCAGGAAUCGCCAGGGGAUUUAUUGAACAAUGUAGUUUAGGGCAUUGUGAACACUGAGAUAGGAGAGGAGGCCUGGAUCUUGCCACAAGUUCUGGACGUUCGCUACACCUGUAUUCGUUUUCAGAGGGCGUCCAGCUUUCUAGAAGCGUUCCUUUUUUGUCCAAGUAAAACUGGAGGAUUGCCGCUCUGGGCCCUCGUCAGAGAUGCUUCACUUUGCAGCAGGAAGCGGGAAAUUCAGAGGCUCUCAAGUCCGAAUGCAGAGGAAGAACUGGCUACGAGUGCUUGCUCUAAGAGGGGCAAGAGCUGUGAAAGGUUGUCUAAUGGAUGUCUGGUGGCCAUCAUCCUUGUGACCUCACAGCAGCUGGACAAGAUCAACCCAGCUAGAUCAGCCAGUGUCCCAGCAGGCAGCAGUUCCUGGACUCCAUGUGUUACAGAAAAGGGACAUGAAGGUGGGAGGAGGCUGUGCCAGGAGUGUUGGGAGGAAGAGCAAUAAUUCUGAGUAAACACUUGGUAUAAAUGUGUGAAAUUGUUAAAGAAUAAAAGAUAAAAAUAGC